ACCAAAUAUAGUCGGGCCUGGCUAUUUUUAGCCGGGCCUCGGGCGCGAGCGCGCCGCGUGAGGGGGCGCCCUGACCCCGCGGGGAGUGCGGAGGGGGCGGGGGUGGAGGCGCCAUCUUGGACUCGGCUCGACCCCGUCUGGUGACCGGCGACGCUGGGCCAGGCUCGGCGCAGGGGGUCGGGCCAGUCUUUUAGAAGCUAAGAACUAUCAUCAUCCCUGUUUUACAGAAGCACAAAGAAGUUAAGUACUUGACCAAGUCACAUCAAGGUAUGAGCCCAGGUAGUCUUGCUUCAGAGCCUACGUUCUUAUCCAUGCCCAUUGCCAGCCGCAUGCUCGUUCAUUUAUCAGAGCAAGUGAGGAACUCAGCAGAGUCAGGCGAAAGAAGGAGGGUACUAUUAAUAUUUGGUGCCCAUUCUGUUGCUGUGCCUGUUUCGGCUUAGGUAAGUAGGUACACUUUCAGUUUUAAUGAUCUCAUUAGAAUUUUUUUCUCCAAGAAUUUGUUGUUCCUGAAGUACUACAUUUUUCAUAAAA
Molecule: long non-coding RNA, 531 nt
Filed under: Capra hircus (goat)
Lineage: Eukaryota; Metazoa; Chordata; Mammalia; Artiodactyla; Bovidae
Description: lncRNA (ENSCHIG00000007973.1)
Source: RNAcentral